This 253-nucleotide ribosomal RNA is filed under the name uncultured Lachnospiraceae bacterium. RNAcentral's name for it is "partial 16S ribosomal RNA". It matches the Rfam family "Bacterial small subunit ribosomal RNA", at positions 524 to 776 of the family's 1533-position model. The record is from RNAcentral. Lineage: Bacteria; Bacillati; Bacillota; Clostridia; Lachnospirales; Lachnospiraceae.
UACGUAUGGAGCAAGCGUUAUCCGGAAUUACUGGGUGUAAAGGGAGCGUAGACGGAUGUGCAAGUCUGAUGUGAAAGGCGGGGGCUCAACCCCUGGACUGCAUUGGAAACUGUAAAUCUUGAGUGCCGGAGAGGUAAGCGGAAUUCCUAGUGUAGCGGUGAAAUGCGUAGAUAUUAGGAGGAACACCAGUGGCGAAGGCGGCCGCCUGGCCUGUUGCUGACGCUGAGGCACGAAAGCGUGGGGAGCAAAAAGG